This 263-nucleotide ribosomal RNA is filed under the name uncultured Sphingobacteriales bacterium. RNAcentral's name for it is "partial 16S ribosomal RNA". It matches the Rfam family "Bacterial small subunit ribosomal RNA", at positions 1121 to 1382 of the family's 1533-position model. The record is from RNAcentral. Lineage: Bacteria; Pseudomonadati; Bacteroidota; Sphingobacteriia; Sphingobacteriales.
UCAGGUUAAGCUGGGGACUCUAAAGGAACUGCCUACGCAAGUAGUGAGGAAGGCGGGGAUGACGUCAAAUCAGCACGGCCCUUACGUCCAGGGCUACACACGUGCUACAAUGGCCGAUACAGAGGGCAGCUACCUGGUGACAGGAUGCAAAUCUACCAAAGUCGGUCUCAGUUCGGAUCGGAGUCUGCAACCCGACUCCGUGAAGUUGGAUUCGCUAGUAAUCGCGCAUCAGCCAUGGCGCGGUGAAUACGUUCCCGGGCCUU